CACUCCUGCGGGAGGCAGCAGUGGGGAAUAUUGGACAAUGGGCGCAAGCCUGAUCCAGCCAUGCCGCGUGAGUGAUGAAGGCCCUAGGGUUGUAAAGCUCUUUCACCGGUGAAGAUAAUGACAGUAACCGGAGAAGAAGCCCCGGCUAACUUCGUGCCAGCAGCCGCGGUAAUACGAAGGGGGCUAGCGUUGUUCGGAUUUACUGGGCGUAAAGCGCACGUAGGCGGACUAUUAAGUCAGGGGUGAAAUCCCGGGGCUCAACCCCGGAACUGCCUUCGAUACUGGUAGUCUUGAGUUCGAGAGAGGUGAGUGGAAUUCCGAGUGUAGAGGUGAAAUUCGUAGAUAUUCGGAGGAACACCAGUGGCGAAGGCGGCUCACUGGCUCGAUACUGACGCUGAGGUGCGAAAGCGUGGGGAGCAAACAGGAUUAGAUACCCUAGUAGCCC
This 445-nucleotide ribosomal RNA is filed under the name uncultured organism. RNAcentral describes it as "partial 16S ribosomal RNA". It matches the Rfam family "Bacterial small subunit ribosomal RNA", at positions 334 to 796 of the family's 1533-position model. The record is from RNAcentral.